UAGCGGCGGACGGGUGAGAAUCCCGUCCACCGAUUGACUAAGGUUUCCAGAGGAAGGCUCGUCCGCUCUGGGUUAGUCGGGUCCUAAGCUGAGGCCGACAGGCGUAGGCGAUGGAUAACAGGUUGAUAUUCCUGU
Molecule: ribosomal RNA, 135 nt
Filed under: Staphylococcus aureus
Lineage: Bacteria; Bacillati; Bacillota; Bacilli; Caryophanales; Staphylococcaceae
Description: partial 23S ribosomal RNA
Rfam family: Bacterial large subunit ribosomal RNA
Source: RNAcentral